Molecule: ribosomal RNA, 245 nt
Filed under: uncultured bacterium
Lineage: Bacteria
Description: partial small subunit ribosomal RNA
Rfam family: Bacterial small subunit ribosomal RNA
Source: RNAcentral
AGAAUCAACGCUGGCGGCGUGCCUAACACAUGCAAGUCGCACGAGAAAGGGACUUCGGUCUUGAGUAAAGUGGCGCACGGGUGAGUAGCACGUGACUAAUCUACCCUCGAGUGGGGAAUAACUGAGAGAAAUCUUAGCUAAUACCGCAUAAUACUUACGAGUCAAAGCAGCAAUGCGCUUGGGGGAGGAGGUCGCGGCCGAUUAGCUAGUUGGCGGGGUAAUGGCCCACAAGGCGAUGAUCGGUA